This 1263-nucleotide long non-coding RNA is filed under the name Neogobius melanostomus (round goby). Its description in RNAcentral is "lncRNA (ENSNMLG00000026532.1)". Lineage: Eukaryota; Metazoa; Chordata; Actinopteri; Gobiiformes; Gobiidae. The record is from RNAcentral.
CUCUUAGAGGAGCUGAUUAUACAGUUCAAGUAUGAAGCCAUGGUGAGCUACCCUAUUAAGUUCAGCUUCAUAGAUGAAAUAGGUGCAGAUGCUGAUGGUGUGUCGAGAGACGUAUAUGCAGCAUUCUGGGCAGAAUUUUUAGACUGCGCCGCAGAGGGAGCUGAUGUUAGGGUUCCCUCCCUAUCUCCAAAAUGGCAACAAGAAGAAUGGAGGUCUGUAGGUAGAAUAUUGGCCAAGGGACUAAAAGACCAUGGGUAUUUUCCAGCUCGUCUGGCUCAAGCAUUUGUGGCAGCCGUUAUCUUUGGUGAACAUUCUGUAUCUCCUGAACUUUUGUUUGAUUCUCUCAUGUUGUACCUAAGUCAAUCUGAGCGUGAUCUCCUGGCUAUUGCUUUAAAAGAGACUGUGACCGGUGAUGAUGAGGAGGAGUUCCUUGACCUCAUGGACCGCAUGGGAGUGCACACAAAUGUUACACAAGCAAAUCUGAAGCCUAUCCUACUCCAAGUUGCACACAAGCAAAUUAUUCAGCAGCCAAAAUAUGCACUGGAUAAUAUUGCAGCAGUUGCAGGACCAACUCUCAGGGAGUUUUUUCCAAGUAUGCUGGAACUGCAGAAAAUGUUUGAUGAUCUGAAACCAACAACACGCAAGGUGAUAAAGUUACUUGAUGCCUCUCCAUCUAAUGCAGCUGAAGCCCAGAGUUUGCGAUUCUUGCAUCAGUACAUAAGGGGAUUGGAUAAAAUUGGCCUCCGGAAGAUGUUAAGGUUUGUGACAGGCUCUGAUGUAAUCUGCGUUAAAAAGAUCGAGAUAAUAUUCACAAAUCUGGAAGGAUUUUCAAGACGACUCAUUGCACAUACCUGUGGCCCAAGUUUGGAGCUUCCUUCAACUUACAACAGCUAUCCUGAGUUACGAGCCGAAAUUGAAGGAAUAUUGUCUUCCAACUAUUAUUCAAUGGACAUUGCUUAGAUUUUGUGGUAAUUCAUACUGUCCUAACAUAUCUGAUCAUUCAGUAUCUUCUAUAGGCUGUUUUUGUUGUAGAUUGCCUUUAGCCUAAUUGCCUUUAGGCAGUAUGAAUGCAAGAUUCACAUGAAAAUAUGUUUUCAUAUAGAUAUUGCAAAAAAUGACAUGUCUUUGUUAGUUAUUCAGAAUUAAGUGAUUACUAUGUGUGUUGGUAUUGACUGUCAAACUUGUUAUUGUUAUAAUACAGAAGGCAUGUUCAUAGCUGUUAGCAUACUGUUGACUUUUUUUCAAUGGAAUAUGAAAACCAUU